AGGAUCAUUACUUGAAAUUAUAGGUGAGGGUUGUAGCUGGCCUCUCGGGGCAUGUGCACGCCCGAGCCCUUAAUCCACACACACCUGUGAACCUAUUGUAAGGGCCCUUAAAAAAGGCCUUUACGUCUUAUCAUCAACCCAUCGUAUGUCUCAUAGAAUGUAAAUAUAUGUCCUCGCCUUAAAAAGCGUUGAUAAACUUAUACAACUUCAACAACGGUANNUCUCGCAUCGAUGAAGAACGCAGCGAAAUGCGAUAAGUAAUGUGAAUUGCAGAUUUUCAGUGAAUCAUCGAAUCUUUGAACGCACCUUGCGCUCCUUGGUAUUCCGAGGAGCAUGCCUGUUUGAGUGUCAUUAAAUUCUCAACUCCUGAUCGAUUUGUUUCGACUUCGGAGCUUGGAUUUGGAGCGUGCUGGCGUCGGUCGGCUCCUCUUAAAUGCAUCAGCGGAAUCUAACGUUUCGGACGUCAGUGUGAUAAUCAUGUUGCGCUGUCUGUCUGAUCCUGAAAGCCCGCUCACAAUGGUCUUCGGACAACUUCAUAUCAAAUUUGACCUCAAAUCAGGUAGGACUACCCGCUGAACUUAAGCAUAUCAAUAAGCGGAGGAAAAGAAACUAACAAGGAUUCCCCUAGUAACUGCGAGUGAAGCGGGAAAAGCUCAAAUUUAAAAUCUGGCGGUCUUGCGGCCGUCCGAGUUGUAAUCUGGAGAAGCGUUUAUCCGCGUCGGACCGUGUACAAGUCUUCUGGAAGGGAGCGUCGUAGAGGGUGAGAAUCCCGUCUUUGACACGGACAACCGGUGCUUUUGUGAUGCGCUCUCGAAGAGUCGAGUUGUUUGGGAAUGCAGCUCAAAAUGGGUGGUAAAUUCCAUCUAAAGCUAAAUAUUGGCGAGAGACCGAUAGCGAACAAGUACCGUGAGGGAAAGAUGAAAAGC
This 926-nucleotide ribosomal RNA is filed under the name Piloderma sp. 281_Ny1.O-38.4. RNAcentral's name for it is "eukaryotic LSU rRNA". The stretch from base 546 to 926 matches the Rfam family "Eukaryotic large subunit ribosomal RNA", at positions 1 to 372 of the family's 3401-position model. Lineage: Eukaryota; Fungi; Basidiomycota; Agaricomycetes; Atheliales; Atheliaceae. The record is from RNAcentral.